Herpailurus yagouaroundi (jaguarundi) is the source of this 1446-nucleotide long non-coding RNA. RefSeq lists it as uncharacterized. Lineage: Eukaryota; Metazoa; Chordata; Mammalia; Carnivora; Felidae. The transcript has 6 exons. The record is from RefSeq and is a predicted model, not a curated record.
GCCUGCGGAGCUCCGUUACUGAGCAAUCCUGGCAAAGACGUUCAGUUUUAUCUUCUGCAGAAGGAGAAUGUUUUUAUACCUGACCCAUGCGAUUGUUCUGCGCUGCUAAUGUCUAUGCUAGAUAUACGUAGAUUUUUGCCAUCAAAGGCUCUCACGGCCAUAUUUGAGCUGUACCUUUACAGUUCUCUUCAGUUUUCCAAGAGCAGCAGGAAAUGACUGAAUCACAGCACGUCCCCUGGGGAAAAGGCUGUUUGUACUGUGGAAGCUCCAAGCUAGCUUAAAGACGGUAGAGUCUUCCAAGGAACCAUCAGACAGACAGGAAGAGAAUACAUGCAAACGAUAAAUGGAGUCACAUGUUAACAAUAAGGAUUAGUAUCAUUCAAGGAUGUGUCAGUCAGUUUCACCCAGGUGGAGUGGCAGUGGCUGGACUCAGCUCAGAAGAUCCUGUGCAGGGACGUGAUGCUGGAGAACUACAGCAAACUGGUUUCAGUGGGGUGUCUUACAAUCAAACCAGAUGUGAUCUCCCAGUUGGAGCAAGGAGAAGAACCAUGGAUAAUAGAGGUGAUGUUCUCAAGCCAGAGUCUUCCAGGUGAGUUAUUGUGUACCCAAGAGAUGGAAGCUACUGGAAAUCAGAUCUUAAAGUGGACAGUUGGUUACUUGGUACCUGUAAUAUUUUCCUAUGGCCGUUGUAAUGGAAUACCACAAACUGGGUUACUUAAAACAACAGAAAUGUAUUCUCUCACUUCUGGAGGCUAGAAGUACAAAAUCAGGAUGUCAGCAGGGCUAUACUUUCUCCAAAGCCUCUAGGGGAAAAUCCUUCCUACCUCUUCCUAACUUCUGGUGGUUGCUGGCAAUCCUUGGCAUUCCUUGACUUACAGCUGACUCUAAUCCCUGUUUCUGUUAUCAUCUAGCCUUCCCUCUUUGUGUCCUCCCCUAAUUUAGGGCCUACCCUAAUCUAACAUGACCUCAUCCUAACUAAUUAUAUCUACCAAGACCCUAGUUCCAUAUAUCACAUUCUGAGGUUCUGGGUGGAUAUGAACUUUAGGGACAUUAUUCAGACUACUGUGAGAUCUCUGAAACAUUUUUGGAAAUCUCAUUUUAGAGACUUCAUACCUUCACAAAUAUCGAAGGAUGUCUGACCACCAUUCCCAAGAUGUUUAAAUUAACAUUUUGUAAUAUCACCUUCCUCUUAGAAUGUGCUCAUUCUCUACUUGAUGUUUAUAGAGACACUUUGCACUCUGACAUUACCCAAAUCUAAUUUCUAGUUACUGUAUCUUCAAUAUUUAUUUCUUCAUUAUUCUUCAGUUGCCCAAUUUCUUCCCAUUUUUAUAUACUCCUUUUGAUUUUCAUCAAUUUUGGAUAUAGCCUCUUUUUUUAAGUUUUUUUAAGUUUUUCAGAUCAUGACGUGAGCUGAAGUUGGAUGCUCAACCGACUGAGCCACCCAGG